AGGGCACCACCAGGAAUGGAGCCUGCGGCUUAAUUUGACUCAACACGGGAAAACUUACCCGGCCCGGACACAGGAAGGAUUGACAGAUUAAGAGCUCUUUCUUGAUUCUGUGGGUGGUGGUGCAUGGCCGUUCUUAGUUGGUGGAGCGAUUUGUCUGGUUAAUUCCGAUAACGAACGAGACUCUAGCCUACUAAAUAGACGUUCCGAUCAUCUUCGUCGGACGUUCUUCUUAGAGGGACAAGCGGCGUUCAGCCGCACGAGACAGAGCGAUAACAGGUCUGUGAUGCCCUUAGAUGUCCGGGGCCGCACGCGCGCUACACUGAAGUGAUCAGCGUGCAUCAGUAACCCUCUCUGUCAAGAGUGGGUAACCCAAUGAACCUUCUUCGUGAUUGGGAUAGGGCAUUGUAAUUAUUGCCCUUGAACGAGGAAUUCCCAGUAAGCGCGAGUCAUAAGCUUGCGUUGAUUACGUCCCUGCCCUUUGUACACACCGCCCGUCGCUACUACCGAUUGAAUGAUUUA
Molecule: ribosomal RNA, 519 nt
Filed under: uncultured eukaryote
Lineage: Eukaryota
Description: SSU rRNA
Rfam family: Eukaryotic small subunit ribosomal RNA
Source: RNAcentral